UACGAGGGGUGCAAACGUUAUUCGGAAUUACUGGGUGUAAAGGGUACGUAGACGGCAUAUUAAGUCAAUUGUUAAAUUCCCCAGCUUAACUGGGGGUAGGCGGUUGAAACUAAUAAGCUAGAGGAUGAGAGAGAGAAGUGGAAUUCUCGGAGUAGCGGUAAAAUGCGUAGAUCUCGAGAGGAACACCGAUGGCGAAGGCAGCUUCUUGGCUCAUUUCUGACGUUGAGGUACGAAAGCGUGGGGAGCAAACAGG
Molecule: ribosomal RNA, 253 nt
Filed under: uncultured bacterium
Lineage: Bacteria
Description: partial 16S ribosomal RNA
Rfam family: Bacterial small subunit ribosomal RNA
Source: RNAcentral